UCCUACGGGAGGCAGCAGUGAGGAAUAUUGGACAAUGGGUGCGAGCCUGAUCCAGCCAUCCCGCGUGAAGGACUAAGGCCUUAUGGGUUGUAAACUUCUUUUAUACUGGGAUAAACCUACUUACGCGUAAGUAGCUGAAGGUACAGUAGA
Molecule: ribosomal RNA, 150 nt
Filed under: Chryseobacterium sp. SB172
Lineage: Bacteria; Pseudomonadati; Bacteroidota; Flavobacteriia; Flavobacteriales; Weeksellaceae
Description: partial 16S ribosomal RNA
Rfam family: Bacterial small subunit ribosomal RNA
Source: RNAcentral